AUGGUCCACGUCAGUCUGGGUAUUAUUAUCCGAGCUCUCCCUGAUGGUGAUUAUUGCAGAAUAAUAGCCACAACACAGGUUGAGGAUGUAGCACUGGCAUGCUGCAGUUACCAGUUAAAGCAUAUAUACAAGAUUACUCCUCUCAAUGAUGAUCAAUCAGGAAAAUCCGAGGGUGGUUGUACUACAUAUCCUAGUUCCAAAGGGUUGAAAGAAGCUCUAAACCUUGUGUACAAUAAUCUUCCACCCCAUUUGAAGGCAUGCUUGUUAUAUAUGAAUAUGUAUCCAGAAGGGUACACGACCAGGAAGGAUGAAUUGGUGAAGCAAUGGGUUGCUGAAGAUUUUAUCGGCUCAGUACACGGACAAGACAGAGAGAACACCGCGGGAUGUUAUUUUGAUGCUCUCGUCAGUAGUGGACUGGUCCAAUCCAUAGAUACCGAUCAUAAUGGUGAGGUGUUGUCAUGUACGCUUCACCACAUCGUACUGGAUCUUAUCAGACAAAAAUCCAUGGAGGAAAACUUUGUCACUGUUGUGAAUUAUUUUCAAACAAUUCUAGGACUUCCUGACAAGGUCCGUAGACUGUCUGUCCAGUUGGGAGGUGCAAAAGGUGCAAAUACUAUACCAGACAAUAUGAGAACAUCCCAAGUUAGAUCACUACUAUUUUCUGGAUUCUUCAAAGGUGUACCCUCCAUUGUAGAAUAUGGGCUUCUUCAAGUUUUGAUUCUUCAUAUUUGGUCUGAUCAAGACAAGACUUUUGACCUCACUUCAAUUGGUGAACUAUAUCGACUGAGAUAUCUGAAGAUUGAGUGUAAUAUCACCGUCAAGCUUCCAGGCAAGAUUCGAAGGCUGCGGCACUUGGGUACUCUGCAGGUAGAUGCAAGAUUAGCGGUUGUUCCAUCUGAUAUUAUUCAUCUGGAUAAGUUGCUGCACCUCCGCCUUCGGAGCGAGUCUAUUUUGCCUCACGGGGUUGGCCAUAUGACAUCUCUUCGUACUCUGGGUUAUUUUGAUCUCAACAGUAACCCAAAGAUCAAUUUGAUGGAUCUUAAGAAGCUGACAAAUCUGAAGAAUCUUCAGCUCACCUGUUCUACACUACCGCCAGCUGAAUGCCUUGAAAAGAAUAUGCAACUCCUGAGCUCAGUCCUUAACAAACUUAGCAUCCUGCAGUCUGUAACUCUUGUACCUGCUACAGGCUCCUCCAAUGUAAAUACUUUACAGGCUGAUAAUGAUACUGGUGCUUCAAGCAUGAUCAUUUCAUUUGAUGGCUUCAGCAGCGCGUCCCCUGCCCCAGCGCAUCUUCGGAGACUCGAGUUGUCACGUUGCUGCUGCAUAUUCUCCAGACUCCCAAAAUGGCUUGGUGAACUUGCGCGACUCUGCAUUCUUAAGAUUGCAGUUAAGGAGCUAUCGAACGAAGAUACUGAUAUCCUGAAAGGACUACCUGCCCUAACUGUUCUGUCGUUGCAUGUCAUGACAACGUCUGCAGAAAUGAUUGUCUUUGGCAAGGGAGGGUUCUCAGUUCUCAUAUACUUCAAGUUCACGUGCACUGUGCCUUGGCUGAAAUUUGAAGAGAAUGUAAUGCCUAAUCUCCAAAAGCUCAGGCUAGGUUUCAAUGCUACGACAGUGGAUAAACAAGGGAUCAUUAUUGAGCACUUGUCAUGCAUUAAAGAGAUAUCUGCAAUAAUUGGUUGUGUGAGCGUUGGCGCAGAGUCUGCCUGCCAGAAAGCAAUUAUGAACGAUCCAAGAAAUCCUAAAGUGCAAUGGAUGGGCUCGAUUUAUGUUGGCGACGAAGGUACAGGACACGUGGUGACACAUGAAGCCCAGGAAUAUUACAGAGCUCAAGGUAAGGUUUCGGGGGGAGGUGAAAUCAUGGAUGAAACUGAUGGAAUUCAAGAUGAGAACAAUGAAGUCGCUGGUAAAAGCAAUCCAAGAAAUCAAAUGCUGCAAUCCAUGGGUUCAAUUUAUUAUGGUGGCGAAGGUAGAGAAAUGGUGACACACAGUGGUGGACCCAGAAACCGACCAAGGGAGGAGCUAAGUGGGACGAUGAUUGUUCAGGAGGUGCCGGUCUGGUUCUUGAAGCCCAUGACGGUGAUAGGUGGGUUACUGAUGAGCAUCAUCUUCAUGUUUGUCUUCGUGCUUCUGGCCAUAAGCGUGUUGGAAUGGUUGGUCUAG
Molecule: ribosomal RNA, 2163 nt
Filed under: Triticum aestivum (bread wheat)
Lineage: Eukaryota; Viridiplantae; Streptophyta; Magnoliopsida; Poales; Poaceae
Description: partial small subunit ribosomal RNA
Source: RNAcentral